UACAGAGGUGGCAAGCGUUGUUCGGAAUUACUGGGCGUAAAGGGCGAGUAGGUGGCCAUCUAAGUCAGACGUGAAAUCCCCCGGCUUAACCUGGGAACUGCGUCUGAUACUGGACGGCUUGAGUAUGGGAGAGGAACGUAGAAUUCCAGGUGUAGCGGUGAAAUGCGCAGAUAUCAGGAGGAACACCUAUAGCGAAGGCAGCUUGCUGGGACGUAACUGACGCUAAGGCGCGAAAGCGUGGGGAGCGAACAGG
Molecule: ribosomal RNA, 253 nt
Filed under: uncultured bacterium
Lineage: Bacteria
Description: partial 16S ribosomal RNA
Rfam family: Bacterial small subunit ribosomal RNA
Source: RNAcentral